Helianthus annuus (common sunflower) is the source of this 1000-nucleotide long non-coding RNA. RefSeq lists it as uncharacterized. The record is from RefSeq and is a predicted model, not a curated record. NCBI's taxonomy places the organism in Eukaryota, Viridiplantae, Streptophyta, Magnoliopsida, Asterales, Asteraceae. The transcript is spliced from 2 exons.
UACUAUUUAGAUUUUGAACUUUAUUUAGGUUGCCGGAGCUAUUGUUAUAUUUGAGGUGCAAAGAAGUGCUAGAUCAGAAGUUGAAAAAGAAGAAAUCCGUAAGCAUAAAAUUAAGGUUUGAGGAACACCACGGAACAACACUCAAAAUGGCCCUGCUAUCCACCAGUGCUUCAUGAACCAAAAUUCUGGGUACAUCAUAUGACCAAAAUUCGGCCACUCAUGUUGGGUAAACAGAGAUGAAGUAAAACAGUUACAAAUAACGGUGAUGGAAAUUGGCAAUGUGACAGGAUUCAUCAGACAGUUAAUGAAAACUAAACAAAUAUUCUUUAGUUACAAAAUACAAGACUAAACUGGUUUAACAUGGCAACUGCAUUUCAAGAAACGAGGGAGGACAUAAUGGGAAUUUCUGCCAAAUAUCUGUAUUAAAUAAAAGAGCAAGACGAAGAGAGAUUUACAUAAUUGUAAGGAAUGUUAUUUGUAAUAAGUAUAAUUUAAGUUAAAGGUUAAAGAAGAGAGCUUCGUCGAUGAAGUUAAACAACGUGUGAAGUCAAAUGUUCUUAAAGUUGAGAAGAUAAAAGCUUCAUCAAAAACCAACUUUCUUCUCGAUAUGCUUAAAAAGGAGGACCCAAAGAUUAUUAUCCCAAUUGCUGCAUCAGCACCUAUGGGAAUUAAUAUGUUGGUUCUAGGCAUGGUGUUAGCUGCAACAAGUGUGGUGGUAUGGGUCAUAAUAGCUCUAUGAAUUGUCCAAGUGCGGUAAAUGGUUUAGUUGGACGAUUUAACAAUAUGCCUUCUACAUGUGGAAACAUAUGCAUUGGGCUAAAGAUUAUCCUGGAGUGACUAAUGUCUCUAAAGCUUAUGGCGGAGAAGAUGUGUCACUGGGAUGAUAUGAGAGUGCUUUGGUCGGUAUGUUGGUGGUUAUUGACUUUGAGGUUUAAACUCACAUUACACACGCUAAUAAUGUAAAUAGUGCUUUAUUAGUGAAAUUUUCCUCUUAUAAUUA